This 253-nucleotide ribosomal RNA is filed under the name uncultured bacterium. RNAcentral describes it as "partial 16S ribosomal RNA". It matches the Rfam family "Bacterial small subunit ribosomal RNA", at positions 524 to 776 of the family's 1533-position model. The record is from RNAcentral.
UACGGGGGGGGCAAGCGUUGUUCGGAAUUAUUGGGCGUAAAGGGUGCGUAGGUGGCGCCGUAAGUCAGGUGUGAAAUUUCGGAGCUUAACUCCGAAACUGCAUUUGAUACUGCGGUGCUUGAGGACUGGAGAGGAGACUGGAAUUCACGGUGUAGCAGUGAAAUGCGUAGAUAUCGUGAGGAAGACCAGUGGCGAAGGCGGGUCUCUGGACAGUUCCUGACACUGAGGCACGAAGGCCAGGGGAGCAAACGGG